This 339-nucleotide unclassified non-coding RNA is filed under the name Melitaea cinxia (Glanville fritillary). RNAcentral describes it as "misc RNA ENSMCXG00005017219.1". Lineage: Eukaryota; Metazoa; Arthropoda; Insecta; Lepidoptera; Nymphalidae. The record is from RNAcentral.
AGUCUCUUACUUCAAAAUCAUAGGACGUUCAUACAAACUUGCAACCCCCAUUUCACCCCCUUAGGGGUCGAGUUUCGUAAAAUCCGUUCUUAGCGGGUGUCUACGCCCUAUAAGAAACCAACCUGCCAAAUGUCAAAUUUGUAGCUGUUAUAGUUUCGGAGAUUUCGUGAUGAGUGAGUCAACCUACCAUCCCCCGUUUCAACCCCAAAAGGGAGGUUAUUUUUAAAGAUACAUUAUUUGUACACUUUCUCAUCAUCUAUAGAGCAUACAUUUUAAAUUUCAAGUCACUUACUUCAAAAACAUAGGACUUUCAUACAAACUUCCAACCCCCGUUUUACC